UACAGAGGGUGCAAGCGUUGUUCGGAAUUAUUGGGCGUAAAGCGCGUGUAGGCGGCUUAGCAAGUCGGGUGUGAAAGCCCUCAGCUCAACUGAGGAAGUGCGCCCGAAACUGCUGAGCUUGAGUACCGGAGAGGAUGGCGGAAUUCCCCAAGUAGAGGUGAAAUUCGUAGAUAUGGGGAGGAACACCGGUGGCGAAGGCGACAUCCUGGACCGGUAUUGACGCUGAGGCGCGAAAGCCAGGGGAGCAAACGGG
RNAcentral lists this ribosomal RNA (253 nucleotides) under uncultured bacterium. RNAcentral's name for it is "partial 16S ribosomal RNA". It matches the Rfam family "Bacterial small subunit ribosomal RNA", at positions 524 to 776 of the family's 1533-position model. The record is from RNAcentral.